Equus caballus (horse) is the source of this 10917-nucleotide non-coding RNA. The record is from RefSeq and is a predicted model, not a curated record. NCBI's taxonomy places the organism in Eukaryota, Metazoa, Chordata, Mammalia, Perissodactyla, Equidae.
UGUGAGUGGACAGCAACUUUGUUAGUAGCUAGAGCCCUCUGUGUCAGCCAACUCAAGGUAAUAAACAGAGUUUCUUGCUCUGCAAACUGUGUGGAGACCUUACCUGAUGAGUAGACAAUGUGCAUCCACUCAGGUAUAGCAGGGCCUAUGCGGGGAAAGCAUCCCUGCUGGUAGCCCCAUGGCACGGUGGGAAAAUCUCCACCCUGGGCUUCCGGAGACCAGAGUUCCAGUGCUAGCUGCACAGUACAUAGGUCUAUUGUGUGACCUUGAACAAACCCUACAUAAGACAGAUUUGAUCACAUCUGCUGCCUCCCAUCCCCGUAUGUACAGCUAGCUUUUAUUACAAUGUAUCAACGGCUGGAAUAAAGAACUAAAAAGCAGGCCCAUCAAGUUUGUGAAUGCUACAAAGCUGGAGAGUGUAGCUAAUAAUGACAAAGGACAGAUCAAGUUUCUAGGAGAUCUUGAGACUGGUUGGAAAAUGGGGAUGAAACCUCUAAGGAAGGCUUUGGGAAAGCUAAAGGCACAAGUUUGGACUGGAGAAGAUUCGGGAGUUUUUGUUGGCUGGAGACUCACUGCGACUGGGGUUGACAAAGAAGUUAGCGCAACCAUGGGCUCUCCUGACAGAGGUGUAGAAGAAGUCGCCUUGGGCUUGCCUGCAUGGCCACAUGAACACUGGGCUCCAUAAGAAGGUUAUUUAAGAGGGUCACUGACAAACUGGAGGCAGGGUCGUUGACGUACCAAAGACUUCAAGGUGGGGAAGAAAUUCAGAGGCAACUCCUGAAAAGGCUCACCCUUGAGUGUGAGUCUGUUCUAGGUAAGUCAAGUGAACUGAAGCUUUGUGAGCUUCGAUUUAUUGGGGUAUCCUUUUUUUGAAGGGAGCUGUUGAUUUAAGGGUUGAGGUUUUUCUCUUUCCUUUCUCUUUUUAGAAGUUCUUGGGUUACCUAAUUCAUCAGCUGAGCCAAUCGGGAGGAAAGGAAUUUAUCUUACAAACAGAACUACUUAGAUGCCUGAGUCAUGAACUCUGCAUCAGUAAAAACAAUUGGCAAAAUGAAGCUGGCUUCUUAGGCUGAGAACCUUGUGGAAAUGAAGCCUGAAGCUUCAGAAAUGAAACCAGAGAGGCCUCCAACUGAGGUGCCUUCCUGAAGGGUGUAUUUGCACUUCGGCAGGGAAAUAUCUGUGGCAGACACACCGGUGCUGGUUGUUCCCCGUAACCCACAGUUGGCUUUCAUCUGCACUCCCCCCCCCCAAGCCCCAGUCCAUCCUCUCUUGCUUGAAGAAUUGCUCCUGCCUCUGGCCAAACCACAGGGGUGUGCUCCUGAGACAGACUUCUUUCAAAAGGCCCUGCCCCACCCCUGCGCUGUCGGGUGGGCGGACACACGCCCAUCUACAAACUGGGCUGGCCCAAGCAGAGACUGUCUCCUGGAGGAUGGCGUUAGGCCUGGCCGCUCAGAUGGUCAGUGGCUGACUAGAGGUGGGCAUGAGGCAGAGCCAGGGUUGAAGAAGGCAUUUUCUGAGAUGCGCUUUCAAUCAAAUAAAAACCUCCCACUCAGUGAUAAGAGCUAAGAGGGGCGGCUGAUGUGGAUGUGGGGGCCUGGUGACUCCCUCCUUCCCCUCAACAACUGUGAUUUCCCUGGGAUGGGAUUGCUAAGAGUGAGUUUGUUUUCACAGAAUUUGACCACAACAAGAACCUGGAUGCUCUUGGAAUUUAUUAGACUCUUUGGCACUAAAAGAACAUAUAAGUGGUUUUAAGUUCAAAGUGAUAGUCAUGAGUAGGGCUUAUAAUCUUGAAUUGUGUAGUAUUUGAGACACACCGUUCUCUUACCCUUUUAGAAAAGAGAUACAAGGGGUCCAGGGGCUGUGUUAGUGACUAAUCUCACAGGCUUCCCAAAGGCUUCCUUUCAGAUUUUUAAAGCCUAGACAUGCUUAUAGGGCUGAUGCUUAGUAUUUUGAAUCAAGAACUAAUGGCUUGUUCUUGUUAUUACUUUUGCAAAACUCUAAAACUCAUUCUGAAAUUGAAGGUCUUUCACAAUUUUUAAGACCACAGUGAGUCAAUGAGGAAUUGCCUUUGGCUGUGAGUGACAGAGAUCUGAAAAGCAGAGACGUACAUAAAUGAGAGGCUUUAUUUCUGAUGUUGAAUAAAAGUCUUGGGGCAGCAUCUGGGACUUGGUGUGGUGGCUUCCCAACACCGUGAGAGGCCCAGGUUCCUUCCAGCUUUUCUUCCAUCUGCCAUCCUUAGCAUGUGAUUUCCACCCUCGUGGUCCUCAGAUGGCUGCUAGAACUCCAGCCAUCAGGUUCACAUUGCAAGUGGAAAAAGGGGAAGAGCCAAGAGCAAAGUGUGCAUGCCAGUUAGUGAGCCCCGCCCCUACCCCUUUAAGGAGCAUUCUACUAAGUCCUACCCAAUGGCUUCUAUUUAUGUCUCAUUGGCUAGAUUUGGUUCCGUGAUCGUCUGGCAAAGGACGCUGGAGUAUGGAAAGACUGAGCCAGGCUCAUUGCUGCCUUGGACAAAAUUAGGGUUCAAUUAGUAAGGAAGAAGCGAAGGGGGUGUCAAGUGAUCUGUGCUCUGUGUCUAAAGGAAAUCUAUAAGAAGCAUUCUAUUGCCUUACAUUUUAUAGUCAAAACCUAUUAGAAUUUCAUAUAAAUUCUUCAUUAAGAAAUCACAUUACCUUGUAAAAUCUGACAUGGUUUCCACAGCUGACCUACCAUCACUUCAAACUGAAGACAGACAUUGAACUCCUAAUCACCCCACCCAAACCACCUCCUUCUAAUCUGCCAACGUCCUUGUCUCUACCAGUUGCCCAGACCCAAAGCCUUAAUUUAUUCUUUUUUAGCCUUCAUCCUUCAUGUUCAACCACUCAAAAGUUUUAUCCGCCUGCUAACCAGAGCAUCUCUUAAAUCUAUCUGUUCCUUUCCGCCCCCACUAUCAGCCCCACUGAACAUCCAGUGGGUCAGGCAAUGUGCUAGGCUCUGCAUAUACAAAAGUCAUUAAGGCACGUGGUCUUAUGACUUCAGUCCUGGCUUGUGCACCUACACCAGUCUAAGAGCUGAUCUUGCUGAUUCCACUUCCAGACCUGCCACUCCUGGAACACAGAACCCUUGCUUCAGACACUAUGCUCUUCUUCCUGCCGGGUACAGUCAAAAUCUGUAUUCUUCAGAGGCCUCUGCAGCCUGUAUCCGUUGUGAUUGUGCAGUCUUAGCUUCCCCUGGCCAUGUGGAGUUAGGGUGAAUUCUAGAAAGAUCCCUGUCCAGCCACUUGCUGGCACUGUGACCUUGGGCAAAAUCUUGGGCUCUGAGUGGUGUAUUGGCAAUGGUGAUGGGUAGCCAAGAAGACUUGAGGGGUUUCUCAGAACUAGGAACAGUAAGAAAAUUUGAAAGAGCCUCCUGUUUUAAGAAAGUACUUGACUACUUCUGGAUCAAUUCAGAGAGGCUUCAACAACUCUUGAGAAGAUUAGGGCUAGAGGACUUCGGUGAAACUUUUGUGCUUUGUUCCCUAGAGUGCAAACCCUUGACAAGUGUCACACACAAACAACACUUGGGGUGGAACAAGAGAUUUCCAAUGAUCUGUCUGGGGCCCAUAAUACAAUUCAGCAUCUCUCAAGUGCUUCAGAGUCUAUAAACAUUUUCAAAACAUUUCAUUUAACCUUCUGUAAUUGAAAUGCUUGAAAAAAAACUCCACAUGUUAAGAUUUCUCUAGCAGAAGCAUCACCAGGAACCUCAACAGCUAUUCAAAAGGAUGAAAUCGCUAGACCUGCCACCCUCUAACUCUCCCUCUUUUAUGCAACUCUUUUUAGAGAUAUUGCCUGGAAAGAGGUAAAGGGGACAACAUUGGGCCCAUUUGCAGUUGCAGAAAUUGAGACUCAGAGCGGUGAAGUGACAUUUUCAGAAUCCCAGCAGGAAAUGGUAGAGUUAGGAAGCUAAGUCUGAUCAUCUGCUCUUGUCCUGUUGAGGAGAUAGUGAGAGAAAAGGAAAAUGGUGACAACGGGGGAAUGAAAUCCAUCCCAUCCUGCUGCUACUCCUUCCCCAACUCUUGCUAAGACUUCAGAGUAACGGGAAGAAGAGGACACAUAAGUGGUGACAUGCUAGGGUUGGAAGAGCUGCGUGCAUGUCUUGGAGAGGAGGCGGGCAAAGCACGUGACAGCGUGAAGAGAGUGGGUCGCAGUCUCAGAAACAGGAUCAUGGAAAUGGCCUUGGAGGACCAGAGCAGGAAGACUAUGAUCUUCCAAGUAACUCUAGGCAACAUGGGUGUAGAGACUGGAUUUGGCCAGGGAAGUGGACAUUUGUUUCAGUUUCCAGCAUCCAGCAUUCAUUUGCUUUCAGUUGUCCAGCAUUCAUUUACUUUUCUUCUGAUAACCACAUCCUAACUUCCUGCUUGGGAACUACCACGGAUCCUAUUCUCAAUCUAUGGGUUUCUGGCGAGCUGAAUCUACUUCUGGACCAGGAAUCAAGAACCUGACCUGGGCUCAAGCUAAUCACUCUGUCAAAUUUCUCUAGGCAAAGUGAUUGGUUUAGGAAUAGGCAGCGACCCAAUUAGAGCCAAUGAGAUUUUCCCAGGUGUUUUGGAACAAAGACAUUCAUUUUCUGCUGGAUGCAGACCUGGAAGGGUAUAGUUCUGGGAGUUGCUGACAGCCAUUUUAUGAUCAUGAGUCUAUUUAAGAGUGGCUUGAACAUUCAACAUGAAGUGGAGCAGAGAGAUGGAAAUAAAGCUGGAUCCUGAUGAACUUCAUUUGAAAUCUUGUAUACAAUGAUCUUCCUGCUGAAAUUUUCAGUUAGGUGAGCCAAUAAAAUUUUUUUUGUUUAGCUCAAUUUGGGUCACGUCUUCUCCCAGUGGCAGUCAAAUGGAUCCUGUUUCAUAAAGUAAGAUUUUAACUUUACAUAAACUGUCUGCAGAGUAAAUGUUUGUCAGAUACUUUUCGUAUAACGGCACUUCUUUUUUUGUAGAAUUAUGUUAGGAAACUUUGUAGAGGGCUUCUGCUUCUGGCUACAGACUACCCUCCUGUCAAGAACAACCAUAAAAGCUGUCUUUAAAAAUACAGCUGUUUGACAGUAUGAAGAAAUGUCAAGGCUGGCAGGACUGGAGGGAGUUGGGUCUCUGAGAGAAUGAAAUACAAUUCCAAUCGAAAGUCCAGAUUUUUGUGGAAAUUGACAAAUUAAUUUUAAAAUUUGUAUGGAAGCACAAAAGAACAAAAAGAGCAAAGACUAUCUUGAAGAAGAAAAAAACAUUAUCUUAACACUACCAAAUGUGAAGACUCGUUACAAAGCUACAGCAAUUAAAACAGUAUGGUACUGUCUCAAGUGUAGAAAACAGACAAAUAGAACAAAGGAAGAGUCCAGGAGUAGAGAGUCAUUUGAUUUCCAACAAAGGUGCCUCUGCAGUGCAGUGGGGAAAAGAUAGUCUUUUCAGUAACCCAUGUCCUAGGUCAAUUGAGGACAUGUUUGAGAAGAAGUGAGCAUUGCCCCCUGCCUCACACUAUACACAAAAAUCACUUUCAGAUGAAUUACAGACUUCAAUGUGAAAGAGAAACAGUGAAGCUUCUAGAAGAUAAUCUAAAUAUCUUCAUCACCUUGGAGUAGGCACUCAUGUCUUAAGCAGGCCAGAAAACACACUAUCUUCAAGAAAAAUAUUGAAGAAUUCAAUUCCUUAUAUUGAAAAAUCAGCCACUUGACUGAAUUGGACUUGAUUAAAAAUAAAAGCUUGUAUUUGUUAAAAGAAACCAUUAAAUAAAUGGAAAUACAAGUAAUGGUGUGGAACAAGACAUUUGCUAUGUAUAUACAAACAUCCUACUAUGGACUUGUAUCCAGACUACAUAAAGACUUUCUAUAUGUCCAUAAGAAGAUCACAGAGAGCUCUUUCUUUUUCAAAGGAGGGUGCCAAAGACUUAAACUUCCUUUACAAAAGAAGUGAUAGACGUCACAGUGGUAACCUUUGCAGAUGGCGUUGACUGAGGCAGGGGCAUGAGAAAGCUUGGUGUGCUGAAAAUGUCCUACAUCUUGUUCUAGGCGGUAGCUUGGGUACGUACCUUAUGUAAAAAUUCACUGAUCUGUACACUUAAGUUUUGUGCACUUUAUUGUGUGUAUAUUAUUAUUCAAUAACAAGAUUUUCAAAAAUAAAAAAGGCAAGUAUCUAUAGUGAAGAAGGCUUAUAAAUGGAGCAGUCAGAACUGUUCAGUGGGGUCUAAUUUAUCUACCUAUGCAGGUGAGGAGCCAAUGUUAAAUGAAGCUGGCUAGCCUGUAAUCUAACCUGGCCCUUCUGUUGGAAGAGCAUGUUUCAGUUCAAUUUGGGACAAUAGUUUAGUGAGCAUCUGCAAUGUGCUCUGCUACUAUGAUGGGUGCUAGGGAUACUAAAAUGACUAAGUUGCAGUUUAUGCCUUAAAGAACUUAUCGUCUAGCAGGGAGACAAGCUACUAAAUGGAUAAUUAUGAUUGGUAUGAGGAGGGUGAUGAUAAGGGUCCCAUAGGAGCACAGAUUUGGGGUGUCUAACCCACUCUGGUAUGUGAUAGACUGUGAUAGAUCACACCAGUCAUUGCUAAACUCCUUCUCAUUUGCUCUCUUCUACUACAGAGGCUAAGAAAUUCUCAAUAUUCACUUUUUCUAUGUCCCUUGCAGUUGGGGUGGCCAACUGACAUAGCUGUGCCCAGUGAGAUAUAAAAAGAAGUCCACUGUGGAGUUUUUGGUAUAGUUUUUGCUUUCCCCUCUUUUAUUCCUGCCUUGAACAUAGAUGUGAUGUCAGAAGCCAUCUUGACACUAUGAGGCCACACAAUUAAAGAAGAAUACUAACCUUCAGGGACGACAGAAUGAAAGAUGGAAGGAUUCUGGGUCUCUGAUGUCAUCACUGAGAGGCUAAACCAACACCAGCAACUGCCUACCUUCUCACCUCUUGGAUAAGAAAAAUAACCCCCAACUUGUUUAAAUUGCAGUCAGCCAGGUUUCUGUUGCUUGCAGCUGAUGAACACAUUUAUAACUGAGUAUAAGGCAGAUGAGCAGGUAUUCAGGAAAGGCUUCCCCAAGAGUCCUGUCUAAGCUGAGCCGUGCAGGAUGAAUGGGUGUAACCCGGGGGAGUGGUAGUGCCAGAGGGAAGGUUCUCCAAGCAGGGGAGAGGCACAAAAAGAGAUGAAAGAGGACAGGAUACUAGCAGAGAAUUACAAAAGUUUAGUUUGGCUAAAGCAUUCGAUGGGAAUUGGGGAAAGCUGAAGCUGAAGCAAUAGCCAAAGGUCAACUUAUAAAGACUAUCGUAAACCCCAUAAAAGCAGCUGGACUUGAGCCGGCCCUGAUGGCCUAUCAGUUAAGGUUCGGUGCUCUCCCCACUUCAGUGUUCUGGGUUUGCUUCCCAGUCGUGGAGCCACACCACCUGUCUGUCAGUUGCCAGGCUGCAGCUGCAGCUCACAUAGAAGAACUAGAAGGACUUAUAACUGGGAUAUACACCCACACUGGAGCUUUGGGAAGAAAAAAAAAGGAAGUUGGACUCUAUCUUAAACUUCAGUAGGGAACGACCAAAGGCUUAUAAUCAAAGAGGACGAUAUGAUAAGAUUUGUCUUUUAGAAAGAUUAUUCUGGAGCAUGGAGAGUGGUUCAGAGAGAGCAAGCCCAUAGGGACGGCAGUUAGAAACCUAGUUCAGUAAUACAGUUGAGAGAUGACAGUACUUACUAGGAGCCAGUUGUCAUUUUAAAUGCUAUACCUGUAUGAUGGCAAAGGGGAUGGGAACAAUUGGAUUACUUUGAGAGCUAUUAAGGAGAUAAAAUACGGAAUAUCUGAUGACUGGCUAGACAAAAGGAGCAAGGGAGAAGGAGAAGUCAGAAUAACUUGGUGUUUGUGACGUGGUUAUGAGUGAAUGGUGACACCUUUCACUGAAUUUAGGGACAUGGUAGGUAGUGAAGCGUGUUUCGGUGGAGGAGGUAAAGUAAUGGAUUAGGUUUUGGACACAUUGAUUUUGAACUGUGACUGGGACCUCUAACUGGAGAUGUCGGUCCAGGGAUAAAGAAAGAAAUCAAAGCAGAGUUAUAGAUUUGGGAGUUACCAGGUGCCUGGGACAGGCACCUCCUCAGAUUCUCUUGGCACCACUGCCUGUUGGACCCUCAACCACUUGUUCUUCUCCAAAUGGGGUCAUUGCCAGUUGACUGAAUCUGCUUGCACUUGUGCAAUUGUGCCAGGCCCUCCUCCUCAGCUGCCACCAUACAAUCAUGCCAAAAGGCAACAUACUGUAGAUUGUGGCUCCUCCAAUCACUUCCAGACUUGGGAGAAAUGGCUCACGAAAGCUCAUGGGUCCUGGCAUUCCAAAUGGCCACCAAAGAUGCCAAGUGAUGCAAUCUGAAAAUGCAAGGGAGGUAACUCCCCAAGGAGUAAAUGUUGACCAAGGGAUGAUAGGAGACCGGAGGAAAUUCCUCUGUCUUAUGAACUGAUACAAGGCAUAGUGUGUCCAUAUAACCUGUUUGGAAACAUCCAUGUGGUCAAGUAGACAUACUCACUAAUAACCUGUGUGUCUUGUCACAAUUCAUUGUGAAGCAGUUGACUAGUGUGGUAAUGUAUUUGUUUCACAUUCUUCCCUCCCUCGAUUCCCAAAUAGAGUAUUGGCACUUAAUCCCUGCCUCAGGCUCUGUUUUUGAAGAAAUCUGAUCAAAGUUAGCAGUUGAUUGGUAAUAGUUGAAGCCACAGCCAACAAUGAAUGAGCAGAAUAUGAAGAGAGGUGAGCCUCACAAGAGCUAUAACGAAUACCAGCAGGUAAGGUAUGAGGGAGAAAGAGAAACCAAAGAAGAAGACCAACAUAGAGAAGUCAAAGACACAGGAGGAGCCCUUCUUCAGGGGGCAAUAACUGAAUCUCAGUGGAUGUAAUUAACAAAGUCUAAGGACAUGGGUCACAGAUCUUGUAAAUGGCAUGAGGGAAAGCAGAAACAAAUUGCCCCAUGCUUGUCUUGUGUAUUUUUUUUCAUUGUUAUAUAUCUACUCUUUGAUUAUUUAACUUAAUAUACAAAAAACAUAAAUCUUUGUCUCAAAUAGAUAUUACUGUAACACCCCACCAGCUUGAGGAUCUUCAUUAAAGUGGAUCACAUUAAUAGUGUGUUUUGAUGUCCCUAGAAUCAAUAGCCCCCAUCAACCAAAUGGCAAAGUCCCUCCUUCCCCUGUAUGGCUCUAAGAGCCCUAAAGACAGGAGAGGAGUGGAUCACAUAAAAUUUCUGCCACUGUCAGAAUCACAACCAGCCCUCUGCACCAGCUGCAGCCUUCACUUUCCUUCAUAGCCACUGUUUCCAUCCUUUUUCUUGGCCUAUUGAUGCCACCUGCCCCAUCUCCCCCCAUGCCUCGUUGAUUCUUCCCUGUCUAUCCUCUGGGGGUGUCUGCUGCCAGCACCUGGAACCCCGGCACUGGCUGCCUCCAGAUCUCCAGUACUUUAGUCUACCUGUCAUUUUGGUGUCUACUGCAGAAAAUGACCCAUGGUGAGUUCUUGAUAAAUGCCCAUUAAAUGAAGUAUCGAGUGGAGGAAACAAAGUGAUAAUAAUGGAUGGGAGGUUGGUGUGGGUGCGGCAUAGGCAGCACUCAUGGGACCAGGGAGAGAGAAAAGACCGUUUUCUUCUAUAGUAAAUUUUAGCCAAUGAUACACAAUCCUAUGUCAAGGAAGAAAGAAGCCACGGCAGGUUUGAGGAAAAGGCUAAUGUGAGUGAAGCCAGGGAGACUCUGAAAGUUGAUGAGGAGGCAAGUUAUACUCUUGUGAUGACUUUGGCCUUUUAUCUUGUAUAACUUCAUUCAAAAUCUCUGUCCCUCUGUUUUGUAGAUAUUUUGAGAAUUGGAACAAUCUUAUAUUUGUUAUUAGUCAACAACCAGUAUAUCUCACUUUUUCAAUUUUGGAGUUCUGCCUUCCUCAGGGGAUGAGAAAGCUGUAAUAGUUAAAACAGUGUGAUACUGGUGAAUCAAUAAAUAAUAGAGCAAUAAAAAGUUCUGGGUUGAAAGUCCAGGAAUAAACCCAAAAAUCUAUGGAUAUAGAACAUGAGAAAGGCGAUUUUCAAAUUAUUAUGUAUAAAAAAUUAUUGUAUAAAAAUCAAUUAUUCUGUAAGUGGUAUUGGAACAAAUUGGCAGCCAUCUGGAAACAGUAGAGUAGCAUCCUAUAUUAGCUAUGUCAAGUCAUGCUCACUGCUAUAACAAAUAAACCCAAAGUUCUCAGUGACCUAACACAAUUAAGGUUUAUUCUUGUGUACGUUAAGUACACUUGUCUGUUGCUGGUUGUACAAUCUUCCAUGUGGUCAUUCAGGGACACAAGCUCUGUUCAUCCGGAUAUUCCCUAGCAUUGUGCUGUCCAAUAUGUUGGCCACUAGCUCCAUAUGGCUAUUGAGCCCUUGGAAUGUGGCCAGUGCAAAGUGAGAUGUGCCAUUAGUAUAAAAUAUGCAUCAGAUUUCAAAGACAUAGUAUGAAGAAAAAAAUGUAAAAUAUUUCAUUAAUACAUUUCAUGGUGAUUACUUGUCGAAAUGAUAAUAUUUUAGAUAUAUUGGGUUAAAUAAAAUAUAUUAUUACAAUUAAUUUCACCUACUUUUUAAUUUUUCUUAACAUGACUACUAGGAAAUGUAGAAUGACACGUCUUGCUUUUAUGGCUCACAUUUAUUUCUUUUGGACGGCAUUGCUCUAGAUCACCCGAAUAUUCUCCAUGGUGAAUAGACAUGGCAGAUAGGGAAAGAGAGAGGAAGGGAGGGUCACAUUACUUUCCUUCACAUUCCAUUGGCCAGAACUCAGUUAUAUGUCCACACCUACCUGCAAGGGAAGAGGGAAAACGUAGUUUAGCUGUGUGCCCAAGACAAAGGGGAAAUGGAUUUUAUUAACAGCUAGUUAGACUCUUCCACAAAUUCCUAAUUCAUGCCUUACACCAACAUUAAUUAUAGAGGAAUGAAAGAGUAAGAUGUUAAAAGGAAAGGAAAGAAGGAAGGAAGAAAGGAAGGAAGAAGAAAA